AGCCUGGGAGCUGCGAGAAGGGAAGGACAGGUCAGCUCUGGGUGCAGAGACCCCUCUGGGGCUGCAGGCACAGAAUGGAGGGGGAACCAGAAGCCAGGAGGCCCGGGAGGAGGCUGGGAGGGGCGAGGCAGGGCUUGAGCUAGGCCCCUGAGGGCGACAGAGAGGAGGGUCUGAGGCUGGUGGGCCCUGGGAGGUGAGGAGGCAGGAAUGAGUGGAAGGUGUCCAGGGGCCUGGAUGAACCUGGGGAUCCCCGUUAGGCACCUGCAGAAGUGGGGGACUCAGGCACAGGGAGGCAAGGGGUCCCUGGCUUGGGGUGUGUCCCCUCCUGGAGCCACAGGCCCAUGCGCCCAGGCAGGCAGUUCAUCCAGGCAGCCCACAAGCUGCCCAUGCACCCCUGGCAAGGUGGAGCUGAUGCCCCGCAGGACACACUCAUGAAAGCCCUGGCUGCGCAUGGACCAGGGUGUGGCAGGUUCUGGUUUGCAAGUUUUCCCAAGGUCAAAGGGCAGGUCGUAAAGUUAAAAGCCAGACAGCACCGGAGGGGAAACUGCUGGGGGUUGCAGACUCCCGAACGGCUCUGGCCCCAUCCCAUCCAGAUCCCUGCACCUCCUGCCCGCCCACCGGGCUCCCCACGCCUCUGCUGGUGUGGGUCUCGCUCUCUGCCCCAUCUGGGUGUCUGGCCCCGGGCCCCUGGCUAACCCCCUCUGUCUCUGUGUCUCCCUCUCUCGCUUCGCCUGUCUCAGCCUCCCUUCUCUAUCUCUCUUGCUGGGCAUUUCUCUCCACCCCUCUCUGUCUCUUUGACCCUGUCUCUCUGUCUCUCCCACGGUCUCUCUCAGUCUCUCCUCAGCUCGCUGUCUCUCCCCUCUGUCUGUGUCUCUCCCCUUCUCUCAGUGCCCCUGGGCCCCUCCCUGCCACCCUGUGCCUGUCGCCUGUCCCAUCGCAGGUCCCAGACAGACUGGCGGGGGCCUGAGUGUUGCUAUUCUUGGGCCUGAGUGGCAGGCGGGGCUGUGGCCCCCAGGUGCGUCCUGGGCUAUGGCCAAAUAAGGUCCGGAGUGAGGAGCCCCGGGAGGAGGAGCUGGGGGCGCUGGGGGUGGGGGGAGAGGGGCCAGCUGACCUCCUCCUGCUCCCACUCCCUCCUGCCCCAACCCCCAUAUUCUGGCAGGUGAGAGCGGGCAGGACAGACCAGGUCAUUGCAUCAACUAAGCACUUACUGUCUGCCCCUCACAGUGCAGAGCGCCUGUGCCCCCACCCGCUGGGACUGCUCUUCCCAGGGGAGCGCCUCAGGACUCAGAGGGCUACCGCUUGCCCCAGGGCACCCGGCCAGGCCUGUCCCAGAGCUGAGGGGGCUGGGGCGCCCCGCACAGAUGCCAGUGGCCUCUCCACACCCCCAGGCUGCAGAAAGGGAGAGGGAGGGGCUGUGGUCAAGAGGCAGGCGCAGGGCAGGUGCGGGGGGAGGGGGACAGCUGUCCCACACCCCCUGGUGGUGACAGCUGCUGCCCGAUUUAGCUCACAGAGCCGGGUCUGGCCAGAUAAGGCAGUUGGGUGGGGGGGCGGUCUCACCCCCAGGGCACCCCUUAAAUCGCACAGUCGGGCCCAGGGUUCAGCUGCCACCGACGCCAGGUGAGAGGGGCUGUUCUUUCCUCGACCUCCUGCCGCAAGGCUCCGCGCGUCUUCUCUCGCUGUCUCCCUCCGUCUCUCUCUCCCUCUCUCUCUCCGUCUCCCUCUCUCCCUGUCUCUCUCUCCCUCUGUCUCCCUCUCUCCCUCUGUCUCUCUCUCUCCCUGUCUCUCUCUCCGUCUCUCUCUCUCCCUCUGUCUCUCUCUCCGUCUCCCUCUGUCUCUCUCUCUCCAUCUCUCUCUCUCUUUCUCCCUCUCUCCCUCUGUCUCUCUCUCCGUCUCUGUCUCCCUCUCUCUCUCUCUGUCUCUCUCUCCCUCUGUCUCCCUCUCCCUCUGUCACCCUCUCUCCCUCUGUCUCUCUCUCUCCCUGUCUCUCCCUCUGUCUCUCUCUCUCCAUCUCUCUCUCUCCGUCUCUCUCUCCGUCUCCCUCUGUCUCUCUCUCUCCGUCUCUCUCUCUCCCUCUCUCCGUCUCUCUCUCUCCGUCUCUCUCUCUCCCUCUCUCCCUCUGUCUCUCUCCGUCUCUCUCUCCCUCUCUCUCUCUCUCCUUCUCUCUCCCUCUCUCUGUCUCUCUCUCCCUCUGUCUCUCUCUCCGUCUCUCUCUCUCCGUCUCUCUCUCUCCCUCUGUCUCUCUCUCCCUGUGUCUCUCUCUCCCUGUCUCCCUCUGUCUCUCUCUCCCUGUCUCUCUCUCCCUGUCUCUCUCUCUCCGUCUCUCUCUCCCUCUCUUUCUCCGUCUCUCCCUCUGUCUCUCUCUCCCUCUCUCUCUCUCUCCCUCUGUCUCUCUCUCUGUCUCCCUCUGUCUCUCUCUCUCCGUCUCUCUCUCCCUCUCUUUCUCCCUCUCUCCCUCUGUCUCUCUCUCCGUCUCUGUCUCCCUCUCUCUCUCUGUCUCUCUCUCCCUGUCUCUCUCUCCCUCUGUCUCUCUCUCUCCCUCUGUCUCUCUCUCUCCCUGUCUCUCCCUCUGUCUCCCUCUCUCCCUCUGUCUCUCUCUUCCUGUCUCUCUCUCUCCCUCUGUCUCUCUCUCUCCCUGUCUCUCCCUCUGUCUCCCUCUCUCCCUCUGUCUCUCUCUCUCCGUCUCUCUCUCUCCCUGUCUCUCUCUCCGUCUCCCUCUGUCUCUCUCUCCGUCUCUCUCUCCCUCUCUCCGUCUCUCUCUCUCCGUCUCCCUCUGUCUCUCUCUCCGUCUCUCUCUCUCCCUCUCUCCGUCUCUCUCUCUCCGUCUCUCUCUCUCCCUCUCUCCCUCUGUCUCUCUCCGUCUCUCUCUCUCCCUCUCUCUCUUUCUCCCUCUCUCCCUCUGUCUCUCUCUGUCUCUGUCUCCCUCUCUCUCUCUCUCUCCUUCUCUCUCCCUCUCUCUGUCUCUCUCUCCCUCUGUCUCUCUCUCCGUCUCUCCCUCUCCGUCUCUCUCUCUCCCUCUCUCUCUCUCUCCCUGUGUCUCUCUCUCCCUGUCUCCCUCUGUCUCUCUCUCCCUGUCUCUCUCUCUCCGUCUCUCUCUCCCUCUCUUUCUCCGUCUCUCCCUCUGUCUCUCUCUCCCUCUCUCUCUCUCUCCCUCUUUCUCUCUCCCUCUCCCUCUCUCCCUCUGUCUCUCUCUCCCACUCUCUCUCUCCCUCUUUCUCUCUCCCUCUGUCUCUCUCUCUCCGUCUCCCUCUCUCCGUCUCUCUCUCUCCCCCUCUUUCCCGCUGUCUCCCUCUCUCCUCUCUCUCUCCGUCUCUCUCUCCUUCUCUUUCUCCCUGUCUCUGUCUCUCUCCCCAUCUGUCUUUCUCUGUGUCCCUCUCCCCAGUUCUCUUUAUCUCCUCUCCUGCCUCAUCUCCCUCUCCUCACUGUCUCUGUCUCUCAUUCUCCCUAUCGUUCUCUCCAUCUCUCUCUCCUCCUUCUCGUCUGUUUCUCUCUGUCUCUCCAUCUGUCUCAUCUGUCUCUUCCUCCCACCUCUUUUCUGUGUCUCUGUCUCCUCCCCCCAACUUUCUCUCAGUCUCCCUCAGCACCCCCUGUUUCUCUUUCUUACUCUCCCUUUUCUCCCCAUCUCUCUGUCUCUCCCUGGCUUUGUAUCUCUGUGUCUCUUUCUCUCUGUCUUCUUCUAUCUCUGUCUCUCCCCAUCUUCUGUCUCUGCCUCUCCUCCACUUCUUUCUCUGCCUCUCCCCCACUUCUCUGUCUCUCCCCCACUUCUAUCUCUGACUCUCCCCCACUUCUCUGUCUCUCUCUCCCCCACUUCUCUCUGUCUCUGUUUCUCCCCCACUUCUAUCUCUGUCUCUCCCCCAUUUCUCUCUCUGUCUCUCCCCACUUCUCUCUGUCUCUCCCCAUUUCUAUCUGUCUCUCCCCCAUUUCUAUUUCUGACUCUCCCCCACUUCUCUGCCUCUGUCUGUCCCCCACUUCUCUCUGUCUCUCUCCCCCAUUUCUAUCUCUGUCUCUCCCCCACUUCUCUCUGUCUCUGUCUCUCCCCAUUUCUAUCUCUGUCUCUCUCCCACUUCUGUCUCUCCCCCAUUUCUAUCUCUCUCUCCCCCACUUCUCUGUCUCUGUCUCCCCCACUAUCUCUGUCUCUCCCCCACUUCUCUCUGUCUCUCCCCCACUUCUCUGUCUCUGUCUCCCCCACUUCUAUCUCUGUCUCUCCAUUUCUCUCUGUCUCUGUCUCUCCCCCACUUCUCUCUGUCUCUCCUCCACUUCCUCUAUCUCUGUCUCUCCCCCAUUUCUCUGUCUCUGUCUCUCCCCCACUUCUCUCUGUCUCUCCCCCACUUCUAUCUCUGUCUCUCCUCUACUUCUCUCUGUCUCUGCCUCUCCCCCACUUCUAUCUCUGUCUCUUCCCCAUUUCUAUCUCUGACUGUCCCCCACUUCUCUCUGCCUCUCUCCCACCAUUUCUCUCUGUCUCUGUCUCUACCCCCAUUUCUGUCUCUGUCUCUCCCCCCAUUUCUCUCCAUCUCUGUCUGUCUCUCCUGUCUCUGACUCCUCCUCUCUCCCCAGCUCCCUGGACGAAGCCCUCCGGGGCCUCUGCGGUCCCUGCUGAAUAAAGCUGUUUCUGUCCUCACCUCUCUCCCUUCUGCGCCUCCUUCUUUCCUUCCUCACUCCUCUGCCUCUCAGCUCGGCCCCCCAGCCCUGAUCCUGGGUAUAGGGGGUGGGAAUUCUGGAGCUGGGGGUGGGGGCUCCUCCCUCCCAGAGACAGAGAUGGAUGCAGAGAGAGAACCAGAGACAGGCACGGAAAGAGACAGAGAGAGACAGAGCGAGACAGAGACAAGAUGGGGGCCGUAAGCUCAGAAAUGAGAGAGACAGCAGGUCACAGAGACACAGCACGUGAGAGACAGGGAGACACAGAGAGACUCAGAGACAGACAGACCAGACAGCGCCCCCACUCCAAUACACACAAACAGACACAGGGGACAAGAGCCGGUCAGGGCUGGACAGCCUCCCCUCCCCCUCCAGGCCAGGCCAGGCCAGGCGGUGCCAGGCCCAGGACAAUGGGCCCUUGUCAGGGCUCCGGAGGAGCCAGCCAGCUGGGGAGGCCUGUGGGCUGGGCCACGGAGGAGGGUCGGCCACAGCGGCUGCUGGGUUGGGGAAGGUGCACCUCCUGCGGGCCUGGCCCACGGCCUCCACCCUCAGACUCUCCUUCUCCCCUGGCCUCCCUUCCUGGGGUCUCCACCUACUCCCAGCCUGCUUUCUCUGCUCUGCCUGGGGAAGGGGACAGGCAUUUAUGGAGUACCUGCUGUAUGCACCCAAAAUGCCUCCUCGCCUCUCCUCACACACUCCGUCUCCCGCCACGGGUGUGCCGUCCUCGGGUGUGCCCGCCUCGGGUGUGCCCGCCUCGGGUGUGCCGUCCUCGGCGCCCUCUACUUGUUCCUCCUGUGCCUCUGGCUCCUUCCAUGGAAGAAACGGGCAAUUAUUAAGCACCUGAUGCUUGGCAGGCAAUUCCCCUAACCGCGUCUGCACUUUCCAUCCUUCUUGCUUUCCUGUCCCUUCUGCCCCAGUUCCUUUCUCUUUCUGAUUUGCUUGGUCUCUCCUGGGAAGGAAACGGGCAUCUACUGAGCAUCUGCUAUGCGCCGAGGAGUUGAGGAACAUGGCUCCUCUCUCGCUACCUUCUUUCCUCCCCCCACCCCCAUUCCUUUCUUUCUUUUUUUCUUUCUAGGACAGGGUCUCACUCCGUCGCUCAGGUUGGAGCGCACACAAUCGCAGCUCACUGCAGCCUCGACUUCCUGGGCUCAAGCAGUCCUCCCACCCCAGCCUCCCAAGUAGCUGGAACUCCACACACCACCAUUCCUGGCUAAUUUUUGUAUUAUUAUUAUUAUUUGAGAUGGAGUUUUGCUCUUGCCGCCCAGGCUGGAGUGCAAUGGCGUGAUCUCAGCUCAUUGCAACCUCCACCUCCUGGGUUCAAGCGAUUCUCCUGCCUCAGCCUCCCGAGUAGCUGGGAUUACAGGCACCCGCCACCACGCCUGGAUAAUUUUUAAGUAUUUUUAGUAGAGACGGGGUUUCACCAUGUUGGUCAGGCUGGUCUUCAACUCCUGACCUCAGGUGAUCCACCCACCUUGGCUCCCAAAGUGCUGGAAUUACAGGAAUGAGCCACCGCACCCAGCCUAAUUUUUGUAUUUUUUGUAGAGACAGGGUCUCUCUACGUUGGCCAGGCUGGUCUCGAACUCUUGGGCUCAAGCGAUCCUCCCACCUCUGCCUCUCAAAGUGCUAGGAUUACAGACAUGAGCCACGGCGCCUGGCCCCUUUCUUUCCUCUCUAUUGGUGUCCUCUCCUUUCUGACUUUCUGCUCUCUCCUGGCAGAGGGAGUGGACACAUUUUGAGCACUUACUGUGUACUAAACACCUUACAUACCUCUCUCCUCACUCUCUUCCUCCCCGGUCCCUCUUCUGUCCUUUCCUUGUGUUUCUGAGCUCUCUGCCCUCUUCCAAGGCAAGGACUACAUUUAUUGAGCACUUCUGGUAUGCAAGCAAUUAUGUCCUUUCUCUCCUCUCCUCUUGCCCUUCAGUCUCCACUGACUCCACCAGUCUCUGCUUCUUUCUGCUCUGUGCCAGGGAAGAAAAUGGGCAUUUAUUGAGUACCUAUUGUGUGCCAGACAGUUUUCUUAUUCUCCCCUAACCCUUCACUUCGCCUUCUUCCCUUAUCUCUAACUUCUUUCUGUCCCAUCGGCUCUUUCUCGGGGACAAAGACAAGCAAUUAUGGGGCACCUACUGUAUGCCAGGCAAUUAACAUCCCUCCUCAUCUCCUACCUCUUUCUCGCUGCCCCUCUUGCUCUGCCAGCUUAUCCCCUUGCUGUUCUCUGGGUCCUUUUCUGGGGAAGGGUACAGGUGUUUAUUGAGUGCCUCCUGUGUGCCCCAUGGUUUACCUGCAAUGCCCCCUCCCUGCGUAUCCUCUCCUCUGCCACACUCCUCUCACUGAUCCCUCCUCCCUCUGCUCCUCCACCCCCACGGAGGCCUCCUGGGCCAACCUUUUCCUCUCAUUCCUGUCUGUGCCUUCAUUUCUGUCUUGUUCUCUUGCUCCUCCAAGGACGACAAUGUGCAUUUAUUGAGUGCCUCCUGUGUGCCCACCACCUCACCAGUGUACUUGUUCUCAUUUCCUCUCUUCUCCCUGCCUCCUUCUCUCCACCAGCUUCUCCCCCUCCUCUCUGCCCUGCCAGCUCUUUCCUGAGGGAGGAAAUAGGCAUGUAUUGAGUGCCUACUGUAUGCUGCCGCUUCAUCUACACUGUCUGCUUGCCUCACAGGCUCUGUUCUCCCUUCUCUCCUUUUCUCCUUCUCUCCGCUUGCUCCCUUCCUCCUGGCUGCUUUCUCUGUGCUUGCUGCCAGGGAGGAGAAUGGGCAUUUAUUAGGCACCCACUGUGUAUUAGUCACUUUACAUAUAUUGUCUCCUUCCCACACAACAGUCUCUUCUAUUCUCUCUGCUGGAGUUUCCUCCUCCUCCUCCUCCUCCUCCUCUCUUCCUCCUCUUCUCCUUCCUCCUCCUCUUCCUCCUUCUCUUCCUCCUCUUCCUCCUCUCCUCACUCCUCCUUUACUUUCUCCUGUCUCUUGGGGAAAAGAAAUAACACUUAACAAACACCUACUGGUCUGCUUCACACUUUCCACCCGUGCCUCUCUCUCUUUUUUUUUUUUUUUUUUUGAGAUGGAGUCUUGCUCUGUCGCCCAGGCUGGAGUGCAGGGGGGCAAUCUGAGCUCACUGCAACCUCUGCCUCCCGGGUUCAAGCGAUUCUCCUGUCUCAGCCUCCUGAGUAGCUGGGAUUACAGGCACCCACCAACAUGCUCGGCUAAUUUUUUGUAUUUUAGUAGAGACGGGGUUUCACCGUGUUGCCCAAGCUGGUCUCGAACUCCUGAGCUCAGGCAAUCCACCUGCCUAGGCCUCCCAAAGUGCUGGGAUUACAGGCGUGAGCCACCGUGCCUGGCUCUAUGUCCCUCUCUUUAGGCUGCCUCUCCUUCUGCUUUUGCUCUGCGGGACUUUCUUCUUCUCCCUUUUCAUGUGGUCCUGAAGGGCCUGGGCAGUUAUUGAGCACCGACUGUGUGCCAGGCUUUUUAUAGAUACAGCCUCCCCUUCUCACCCUCGAUUCCCCCUUUCUCUUCCUCUCUCUGCCUUCCUACUCUCUGUGCUCUCCCCUAGGAAAGGGGAAGGGCACCAAUUGAGCGCCAACUGUGUACCAAGGCGACUCUCUUUAGCCCCUUCCUUUCCCCUCAGCCGCCACAGCCCUAGAAGGGGUGGCCAGCUACACCGUGCGGGGCUGCAGGAAAGAGGAGGAGGAAGGAGGAUGUGGGCUGCAGCCUGAUUUCUCCCUUGGAAAAAUAUGUGGACGACAAUGGCUACUCCCUCCCAGGUCAGGGUGGGGUGGGGGAGGCUGAAGGAGGCCUGGAGGGACUCUAGGAAGGAACACUCUAGAAUCUGAGCCUGAGAGGCAGCCCGUGCCCAUGGAGGGGACGCUUCUGCUGCCAGUCACCACACUGGAUUCAAGCCUGAGCCUCCUUCCUCCACCUCCCUCUCCCCUCCGCAGGCCUUCCUGCCCUGCAGACACUUGGCGGGUGGUCCCUGGACUCCUCACCACCUGAGGGAGCAGAUGAGGAAACUGAGGCUCGGGCGGGAAAGAGGAUUUGCCCCUCCCCAUUCUCCUUCUACCUCUCCUCUGUGACCCCCUUCCUCUGUCUCUCUCGCCCUCUCCUCUCUCCCAUUCUCUGAAUCUCUCCCCCAACCCCUGCUCCCACUCUGUUCCUGUCUCUGCAUGCCCCCAAAUUCCCUUUUUUUUUUUUUUUUUUUUUUUUUGAGAUGGGGACUCGCUCUGUCGCCCAGGCUGGAGUGCAAUGGAGCGAUCUCAGCUCACCGCAACCUCCUCCUCCCUCUUACUCCACCUCCUCCUCUUUCCUCCUUCCUCAUCUUUCCUUCUCCUUCUUCCUCCUUCCUCUUACUCCCUCCUCCUUCCUCCUCCUUUCCCUCUUUCCUCUUCCUCCUCCCUCCUCCUCCUCACCCCUCCUCCCCCUUUCCUCCUCCUCUCCCUCUUUCCUCUUCUUCCUCCCUCCUCCUCCUUCCUCUUUCCUCCUCCUCUUUCCUCCUCCUCCUCACCCCUCCUCCCCCUUUCCUCCUCCUCCCCCUUCCUCCUCUUUCCUCUUCCUCCUUCUUCCUUCUCCUCCUCCUCUUUCCUCUCCCCCCUCCUCCUCCCCCUAUCCAUAACACACACACACACAGGCUGUCCCUGUCCCUGUGUGUCCUCUCUUCGGCUGGAUCCUCAGUGUUUCCUCCUCUCUAGGUCUUGCACACACUGCUCCUCCCUUGGGCGAUAUUCCAGUCCUCCACACGCUUCCACCCAGCCCCACCUUUUCCUGAUUGUCCACCUUGUGGCUCUCAGCCUUUCUGGAAUCUUCUCCCUUGUCCUCCAGACUGCCACCCCCCACUGUCUUCUGCCCUCUCCUUCCCCUGCGCUAGGUCCUCCUCCUCAUCCCCGCCCUGUCAUUUCCUCAUCGUCUGUACCCAACCCCCAGAGGAGGCGCUGAUGGGGCCCCAGUCUCACUGUGCCCGUCCACAGCAACCGACUGUGUCAGAAGGAGACAAGGGGGCCGGGGACAAGGGGCAGCACUGUGGUUAGGGCCUGUGCCCUUGGUCUCCCUCCCUCCUCUGCCUCCUUUGCCUCCAGUUUCUGUCCCUUGGAUUUGCCUCUCCUCUUUCCUCUCACUCCUGCCUCCCCUUCCUCUCCCUGCACCUUCAGUGAGUUCCACCUGGCUUCCCCUCCACACGCUCCUGGUGGCUUCUCUUUGGCGCUUCUCUCUCUCUCUCUCUCUCUCUCUCUCUCUCUCUCUCUCUCCCUGUCUCUCCCAUCUCUCGCUGUCUCUGUCUCAUUUUCUCAGUCCGUCUCUGUCUCUCUCGCUCUGUCUCUCUCACUCUCUUGCCAUCAUUGUCUCUGUUUCUCUCGCUGUCUCUUUCUUUCUCACUCUCUCGCCAUCAUUUUGUCUGUUUCUCUCACUGUCUCUCUCUGUCUCUCGCUUUCUGUCUCAUUGUCUGUCUCUCUCUGGCUAUCUCUCUUUUACUGUCUCUCUCUCGCUGUCUGUCUCUCACUCUCUCUCUCGGUCUCCCUCUUACUGUCUCUCUCACUGUCUCUCUUGCUGUCUCCCUGUCUCUUUCUCUCACUCUUUCUCGCUAUCUCUGUUUCUCUCAACGUCUCUGUCUCUCUCGCUGUCUCUUUCUCUCUCCAUCUCUCGCCAUCUCUCUCUCCCUCUCUGUCUCUGACACACUCUAUUUCUCCCAUCCUCCCCUCCAUGGGGCUUUCCUGUUUCCUUUCCAUCCUCACCUUCACUCGCUCUUUCCUCUCCGUUUUCUCCCUCACCCCACAAGCUCUCUCCCCUCGCCUCUAGUCCCCCAAGUCCUUCCCAGCUCCGCCUCUCCAUGCCCGCUCCUUCCUUUCCAGUUCCUCUGCCAGUCAUUGUCCUUGACCCUUCCCUCUCCUCGUCUCUGCUCCCACCGGCUCGUCUGAGCCUGGCGCUGACAGCCUUCUCCCCACCCCGCCCAACCCCACCCCCGACUCCCGCCAUCCCCUCGCCUCCUGGUCCCUGUCCCCCUCCCGCGUCCCCGUCUUCUUGAUGACUCCAACAGCUGCAGCUGCAGAGGCCCCGAGGCCCCUCGGAGGAGACUGGGCAGGGAGGGCUCCUCCGCAUGCUGGGAUAUUUUUAUCCUGCCUUGGACGAUCGGGACGAUUGGUCCUGCAAUCUGUUUCACCCUUUAAGAAACUCAUUUCAUGUCCUGCCAGGUCCUGGGACCAUAAGCUCGCGUGUCUCCACAGUUGCACAUUCCCGUCCGUCUGCAGCUCAUUAUCUGGGCCACAAGGACGUUACCCCAUGACUUGGAAGGACGCGCCAUCACGCAGGAGGUCACAAAGUGGACGGCAGGAAAGCCAGCCUUCCCUCUUCUGCCUUCCUCCUCACCUCUCUCUCUCUCUCUCAGUACUUUGUUCUUGUUAAUAUCAGUGUAUCAAUGAGCCUGGUUUUUUGCCUUUUAUUAUUAUUAUUAACAUAGUGAGCACAGGCGUUUCGUACUCUGCGUCUGAUUUUCCAGCAGCGAAGCCUCUGCCAUCCGCCCCACCGUCCCGCUGGCUCUUGCUCAUUGUCUUUCCCUUCCCUGCUUGCCUGCUCCCUCACGCCCCUGCUCUGCGUGUUGGAUGUGAAAAGGAUGUCAGGGACUAGGCGGAGGGCAUGUUCCUCCGAGCCCAGGCUGCACCUUGGCACAGUGGAGGGUCCACCCACCCCAGGUAGCCCAGGUGAGGCCCCUGGGUCCCCCUGUCACUCAGGCUGUCCACAUGAAAGUCCAGAUGUCUCCGACCAACAGAUCCCUGGGAGAAAGGACGUGACGCUGCCGCUUCACCGGGAUGGGUUCCCACGUCCCUCCGCGUUGACCCACAGCUUCCUUACGGUCUUGUAUGUAGUUUGAUGCUUUUAAGGGCCGGCCACGGUGGCUCAACGCCUGUAAUCCCAGCACUUUGGGAGGCCAAGGUGGGCGGAUCAUGAGGUCAGGAAUUCGAGACCAGCCUAGCCAAAAUGGUGAAACCCCGUCUCUACUAAAAAAUACAAAAAUUAGCAGGCACGAUGGCGGGCCCCUGUAAUCCCAGCUACUUGGGAGGCUGAGGCAGGAGAAUCGCUUAAACCCGGGAGGCGGAGUUUGCAGUGAGCCGAGAUCGCGCCACUGCACUCUAGCUUGGGCAACACAGCAAGACUCCGUCUCAAAAAAAAAAUUGUUAAGACUAUUUUAUCCAGGUUCCUACUUGUUUUCAGUUAUGGGGUUGGGGGCGGGGUGGGAGGGCAAUGACCUGACACAGUGUUACCGGAUGAGGAGUCUGGUCUUGCUUUGCUUUCUCUGCCUUUUCUGUCUUGUCAUUGGCUCUCCCGCCCUCCUACACGCACCCCGCCUGUUGCUUCUCUCAUUCUCCAGUUCCCUUCCAAUCCCCCUUCACUUCUCUUUACUCCCCUCCCCCAGGUCAGUGCUCGGCGUUUCCUCCCUCUUUCUGUUCUCCCAUCCUCCCGGGCAGCUGUCUCUGUCCUGUUCUGUCUCCUGUUCUCCCGCCCCUCCAGCUCCUUCCCUUCCUCCUUUCUCCUGGGCCCUUCUCUGCCGCACCUUCCACAGCUGCUCUGUUCCUCCCCAUCCUCGUCUAGUCCCAUUCGUUGUCCUUUCUCUCCCUGGGUCACAGAGAUGGCCCCGGGGUGGCUGCGCCCUGUUGAGGCAGGGAACGUUUCUGCUGCAUGGCCGAGUUCCCAACCUGGACCCGCCGGGUCUGGCAGCCUGUCCCCGCAGUAGCCUGGGCUGUGCCCACGACACCCCCGCCGCCCAGCUACCCGGCCCUCUCCGUGCCUCACACUGGCUCCUAACCUGCUUCACGUUCCUGCUUCCUGCCCCGGUCUCUGGGCUGACGCUGUCUUAGGGGCGCCCCCUCCUCAGCUGGAGGGGCAUGGUCCUCUGUCGCUACUUCCAAUCCUCUCUCCCUUCUUUCUCUCCAUAUUGCUCUUCCACACUCAUGCACCUCUUCUUUCCUUUCUGCUUUUUUUCUCGCUCACUCACCCGCUGGAGUGCAGUAGUGCAGCCUCCACCUCCCAGGCUCCAGUGAUCCUCCUGCCUUAGCCUCUCAAAGUGCUGGGACCACAGGUGCGAGGCACCAUGCCCGGCCUGUUCUUUUCUCUCUGCCCUUUUUUGUAUUUUUUCCUUUCUCCUUUCCUUCUUCCCUAAUGUCUGUCUCUCUCCUUCCCUUCUUAACUUCCCUUCUCUCUCCAGCCCUCUCCUACCCUCCUUUUCUCUUUUCCCCUAUCUCCAGCCCUCUCCUACCCUCCUUCCCUCCCUCUUUCUCUCUCCCCCUCCGCACCGCUCCAUCUCCCUCUCGGUCCAGUCCGCUGUCUGUGCCCCCUCUCUGUUCCGUUUUCUCUCCCACCCUUCUUCCCUCUCCCAUUUCUUCUCUUUUCCCCUCUUCCUGUUCUCUUUUUCUCGCUGUCCUCUCUGUGGCCACCCUCCUUUUUCUCACUUCUGCUCUCCCUGUCCGGCUCUUCUCUCUCCUCUCUCCCUUCUAGCAGAUUCUCUGGCUGUUUCCUCUCCUCUCCCUCUGUGCUCCUCCCUCCUCCUCUCUCCUCCCAGCCACUAUCCUCUCUCUUCACCCUCUUCUCUUUCUGUCUCAUGGUCUCCUCCUAGCUCUUUUCCUUCCCAGUUCCUAGCUCUCUCCUUUCUCUUUCCUCUUCUCUGGCUGGAGCUCCCCGCUCCUCCAUCCCUCCCUCUCCCGGGGCCCCCUCUCCCCCACCCUCUUCUCCCCCAACACCCUCUCCCCCACCCACUUCUCCCUAGGACGCUCCCUCCUUCACCCGUUUCUCUGCUUCCCUCUUCUCCGAGCUCACCAGCCAUGGCACCCACCCUCUCCCUCUCUUCCUUCCUGUCCCUUUUUUCACCCCCUCGUCUUUCUUUCCUCUUCUGUUUUUUCUUCUCUUUCCACUUCUGACCCCCUACACUGUUUCCUUCUUUCUCCCUCUUCCUCUCUCCCCUCCUGCUCUGGCCAUCUUUUCUUUUUUUUUUUUUUUUUUUUUUUGAGACGGAGUCUCGCUCUGUCGCCCAGGCUGGAGUGCAGUGGCGCAAUCUCGGCUCACUGCAAGCUCCGCCUCCAGGGUUCACGCCAUUCUCCUGCCUCAGCCUCCCGAGUAGCUGGGACUACAGGCGCCUGCCACCAUGCCCUGCUAAUUUUUUUUUUGUAUUUUUAGUAGAGACAGGGUUUCACCGUGUUAGCCAGGACGGUCUCGAUCUCCUCACCUCGUGAUCUGCCUGCCUUGGCCUCCCAAAGUGCUGGGAUUACAGGCGUGAGCCACCGUGCCCGGCUCUUUCCUCCUGCUUUUUUCCUACACUCUCUCCUCCCUCCUCUCCUCCCUCUUUCUCCUGUUUGAUUUCCACCUCUUUUCUCUCCUCUCUCCUCUGAAUCUGCCUCUUCCUCUUCUCACCUCCCUCUUCCUUCCCUGUCUCUCCCCCUUGGGUCUCUCUUCCUUCCCUCUCUCUGGUUUCUCUGUCUCUGCCCUGUCCUUUCCUUUCCCUCCUCUCUGGACCUGUCUCCUCUCCUGGCUCUCUCUCCUUCAAGCUCUCACUCCCACUGGCCUCCCUCCCGGGAGCCCCGUCUCCUCCGUCUCCAGGUGGCCCCUGCAUCCCUGCCUGGUGGGCCUUUGCCUCCCUCUCCUGUUCCUGCCUUGCCUGCUCCCAGGUUUCCAGGUCCUGACCAGGAGGCAGGAGUCCAUACCGAGGCCCAAACAGGCUAGCCCUGAGCAGGGCCCCCAAGCCUGAGGCCCAGGAGUGGACAGACCUUUGUGACACCCAUUCUCUCUUCCUUUUCCAUCUGUCCGGAACUCUGGACACUGCCUGGAGGAAUCAGGCCUGCCGUAGGCCCAGGAAGGCGGAAACAAAGACGACGCUCAGAGACAGGAAGCAACUUGCCUAAAGAUACACAGCACAAAUGAGAAAAUUGGUGCCCAAUGUUUCUGAAGACCAGCAACUGCUAAGACAGAGACUUCGAGGGAACCCGACCUUGCCUGAAGGACCAACAGCGCCCCCUGCAGGACACUUCCCUCCAUUGAGAGAAGCCACAGGCGCCGGCCUGAGGCAUUCUGAGUGCGUGGAAUCCUCUAUUACCACCUCCUGGCAAAGAACGGAGCUGCAACCCAGCUAUAUGAGACACCGAGAAUGAUCUCAACAAAAAGGAACAGUGACCAGAAUGCCUGGGGGAGGAACAGGGGAUACUGGGUGGAAGGAGGGGAGAGGGAGAAGUUGUAAUAUUUUGUAAAAAUGAACAUUUUUACUCCUAAUCAAUAUACAAACAUCAUGCUCAGCAAACUUCUUGGUAUGAAACUUCUGAACUUCACACAUUUUCAAGUCAUUCUAUGGGUGGGUGGAUUGGCUCCCAUGGAAAUGCAACUGGGACUGCACAUGGGAAACAAAGGAAAAUGGAAUUUGGUUCACACAAACCUGUUUGGGAGAUUGCAUUUCCAGGAAAUGGGCCAAAUUGAGUUUGUUUCCUUUGUAACAACAUUGUUGUGCCUUGCUGACUGGAAGGUGGGUACAAAUAAAGGAGGAUGGACUGACAGCUGAAGAGGCACCAGUAAUUAGCCCCUAAUCCUUACCAGGGAGUCUCUCUGAUGGGUUAAAGAAGCCUACAGAGGCCAGGGGCGGUGGCUCACACAUGUAAUCCCAGCACUUUAGGAGACUAAGGUGGAUCGCUUGAGGUCAGGAGUUCAAGACCAGCCUGGCCAACAUGGUGAAACCCGGUCUCUACUAAAAAUACAAAAAUUGGCUGGGUGUGGUGGCACACGGUUGUAAUCCCAGCUACUCAGGAGGCUGAGGCAAGAGAAUUGCUUGAACCUGGGAGGUGGAGGUUGCAUUGAGCCAAAAUUGAGCCACUGCACUCCAGCCUGGGUGACAAGUGAAACUCCAUCCCACAAACACACCUGCCCCCCACCCACCAAAAAAAAAGGAGCCUAUAGUUUCCAGUAGACAAUUUGGGGUUAGUAAAGAAUUUUACAAAAUACUAAAUGUAGUCUUGUAUAUUUUAGGAUUGUUUGCCAUGCAACUAUGUACUGGGAGCACCUAAAUGCCCACAUGAAACCCUAGGCUGGGAAGAGGAAGGCUUUCGCAAUGCCACGCAGCCGAUAACAUUUUCUGGUGGCAGGAAAUGGGAGGGAGCAACCCCUCCUGGAGCAUUUACCUUGCCAGGUGCUCUCACAUCUUAGACCAGAAGUCACGAGGCUAGGAUGAGGGUCCAGGAGGCAGAGAAUGAGGAUUGAGUUAGGGUCAGGACAGUGGACACAGAGAGGAGGAGACACAGAAGGAUGGGUUGGGACUCUAUCCUGGGGGAGGUGAGAGGCCACGCGGAGGGCUGUGAGCAGGGGAGUAGUGAGGUCAGCUCUAGUGUCAGGAAGCUCUCCAUUAGGGGGAUGGACUGAGGGGGGGAUGUUGGGGGCUGGGAGGCCAAAGAGGAGGCUGGGCCGAUGGUCCAGGUGGCAGAGGACGAGGCUUGAGCUGGGACCAAGGCCAUGGAGACAGAGGUGACGGGAUGAGGCCAGGAAGAACUUUAGGGGUAGGUAUGGUGGUGCAUAGGAGAACGUGAUUGGGACAGGGCAGUGCUCUGGUCCAUGAGGUUGGGCAGGUGAUGGCACCACUCACUGGAACAAAGAUCCCUGGAGGAGCACCCGAUCCGGGCAGGUGGGAGGCACUGGCUCCUUUAGUGGCCCCUGAGGCACAUCCUGGGGAAGGAGCCCAGGAGGCAGCUGGGGCCAUGAGUCUGGAGAUCAGGGGUGGGAUCUGAGCUGGAGAUGAGUUGGGGAAUCGCUGGUGAAGAGGGGCUGUCUGGAACCUCCAGGGUGAAGGGAUGGGGCAGACACCUGGAGUAGCAAGGGGGAAGCAUGCACCACCAUCACACACACAUCCCUCUCCCCCAGCAAGGUGGGGCCCCACCGGGCCAUGUCUUCCACAGACACAUAUGUGUGCAAAAUGAUGCAGCAGAACAGGGGGACUCCUGCAGUGCUGCUUAGAACUACUCAAAUCCAGCAACACACUCUUACACCAGAGAUGGAAUAAGAUGGCACCUUAUACCAGAGAUGGAAACUGCCCCAGCUAUGUCAAAAGAAGGUGGGGGAAAAGAGCAACACUUGCAAAACUGUUGACAUGUGCAUCUGCUUGUUUCUGUGGAGAGUAUCUGCAGCAUACCAGGGGACAGAAAACUCAGGCUGCCUCCAGGGAGGGGAAGUGGGUGCUGGAGCCCAGAGUGAGCAUACAGUUUCUGGACGUGGAUUCCACUGCAUCUUUUGUCUAUUCUGGAGACAGGGUCUCACUCUGUCACCCAGGCUGGAGUAAAGUGAUUCAAUCACAGCUCAGGAAGCAUCGAACUCUGGGGCUCAAGCGAUCCUCCUGUCUCAGCCUCCCAAACAGCUGGGACUACAAGCAUGAAUCACUAUGCCUGGCCAACCUACUCUAUCUUUUGAGUUUCAUACUUCAUCCCUGGAUAACCCGGUCAAUAAUCAGGUUUAUAAAGAUCCCAAUGUUUAACCCAGGAAAAAUAAGAUGUUCCCCCAGUGCCGGGGUAGAAGACAUCUGCAGAUCAGACACAGGGACCAGGACUCCAAGUUGGGAACACUUCCCAAAAAGCAUCAGUAGGCCUGGCGCAGUGGCUCAUGCCUGUAAUCCCAGCACUUUGGGAAGCUGAGGCAGGUAGAUCACCUGAGGUCAGGAGUUCAAGACUAGCCUGGCCAACAUGGUGAAACCCUGUCUCUACUAACAAUACAAAAAUUAGCCAGGUGUGUUGGCGGGCGCCUGCAAUCCCCGCUAUUUGGGAGGCUGAUGCAGGAGAAUCGCUUAAACUCAGGAAGCGGAGGUUGCAGUGAGCUGAGAUCGUGCCAUUGUACUCCAGCCUGGAUGACAGAGCGAGACUCUGCCUCAAAAAAAAAAAAAAAAAAAAAAAAAAAGCAUUAGUAAAUAUUUCUGGAAUCCUCUAGGAAAAGAAUGAAGCAGGAUUCACAUGGAAUGAAGACAGAAAAAGCAUAAGCUAUCUCCUGCAGGUGGAGAAAGAAACAGAAGUUAGCAAUGCUAAGACUAUCUUCUUUAUUAAAGUUACCAAAAAUAGGCCAGGCGCGGUGGCUCACGCCUGUAAUCCCAGCACUUUGGGAAGCCGAGGCAGGUGGAUCACUCGAGUCCAGCAGUUCACGACCAGCCUGGGCAAUAUGGUGAAACCCCGUCUCUACAAAAAAUACAAAAACUAGCUGCGCGUGGUGGUGCACGCCUACAAUUCCAGCUACUCAGGAGGCUGAGGUGGGAGAAUCGCUGAGCCUGAGAGGUGGAGGUCGCAGUGAGUCAAGGUACCGCCACUGCACUCCAGCUUGGGUAACAGAGCAAGACCCUGACUCAAAAACAAAAAGAAGUGAUGGGAGGGAAGGCAACCUCCCACGGUGCACCACCUCCUGGUCUUGACAGUCGACUCACAAACCAUCACUUGUUUAUAAACGCGUUUCCGAUCUGCCAUCGUAAUUCCAUUUUAGUCAUGCAUCCCGAGAUCAUUCAAACCACACCCAAGAGAGACUGGACGACAGCACUCACUAGGGUGCUAUUUAUAACCAUACAAUGCAGGAGGCUAGCUGCGUGUCGAUCUGGGGGACAGUUUAAUAAACUGCCACACAACACAGCUGAGCUCCACACAGCCACAUGAGGAUGGGGACAGCCAUUCCUUGGGUUUCUGAAUAACGUAUCAAGUGAGCAGUGAAUUUCAAUGUAUCGUCGAUGUUUUUAAAUAGAC
This 18328-nucleotide long non-coding RNA is filed under the name Homo sapiens (human). RNAcentral's name for it is "non-protein coding lnc-FAM71E1-2:5". Lineage: Eukaryota; Metazoa; Chordata; Mammalia; Primates; Hominidae. The record is from RNAcentral.